AUACGUAGGGGGCGAGCGUUGUCCGGAAUGACUGGGCGUAAAGGGCGUGUAGGCGGCCUGAUAAGUUUGGCGUGAAAGUCCUGUUUUCAAGAUGGGAAUUGCUUUGGAUACUGUCGGGCUUGAGUGCAGAAGAGGUAAGCGGAAUUCCCAGUGUAGCGGUGAAAUGCGUAGAGAUUGGGAGGAACACCAGUGGCGAAGGCGGUUUACUGGGCUGUAACUGACGCUGAGUCGCGAAAGCGUGGGGAGCGAACAGGAUUAUAUACCCUGGUAGUCCACACUGUAAACGAAGAAUACUAGUUGUGGGGUGACUGACCCCCUCCGUGCCGCAGUUAACACAAUAAGGAUUCCCCCUGGGGAGUACGAUCGCAAGAUUGAAACUCAAAGGAAUUGACGGGG
This 396-nucleotide ribosomal RNA is filed under the name uncultured bacterium. Its description in RNAcentral is "partial 16S ribosomal RNA". It matches the Rfam family "Bacterial small subunit ribosomal RNA", at positions 523 to 918 of the family's 1533-position model. The record is from RNAcentral.